AUUGAACGCUGGCGGCAUGCUUUACACAUGCAAGUCGAACGGCAGCGCGGGCUUCGGCCUGGCGGCGAGUGGCGAACGGGUGAGUAAUACAUCGGAACGUGCCCAGUAGUGGGGGAUAGCUCGGCGAAAGCCGGAUUAAUACCGCAUACGACCUGAGGGUGAAAGCGGGGGAUCUUCGGACCUCGCGCUAUUGGAGCGGCCGAUGGCAGAUUAGCUAGUUGGUGGGGUAAAGGCCUACCAAGGCGACGAUCUGUAGCUGGUCUGAGAGGACGACCAGCCACACUGGGACUGAGACACGGCCCAGACUCCUACGGGAGGCAGCAGUGGGGAAUUUUGGACAAUGGGCGAAAGCCUGAUCCAGCAAUGCCGCGUGUGUGAUGAAGGCCUGCGGGUUGUAAAGCACUUUUGGCGGGAACGAAAAGGACUGUGCCAAUACCACGGUUCGAGGACGGUACCCGCAGAAUAAGCACCGGCUAACUACGU
This 483-nucleotide ribosomal RNA is filed under the name uncultured bacterium. Its description in RNAcentral is "partial 16S ribosomal RNA". It matches the Rfam family "Bacterial small subunit ribosomal RNA", at positions 29 to 506 of the family's 1533-position model. The record is from RNAcentral.